RNAcentral lists this ribosomal RNA (385 nucleotides) under uncultured archaeon. RNAcentral's name for it is "bacterial SSU rRNA". It matches the Rfam family "Archaeal small subunit ribosomal RNA", at positions 88 to 474 of the family's 1478-position model. The record is from RNAcentral.
GCUCAGUAACACGUGGACAACCUGCCCUUAGGACGGGGAUAAACCCGGGAAACUGGGUAUAAUACCCGAUAGGUCUCGAGUGCUGGAAUGCAUCGAGAUCUAAAGCUCCGGCGCCUAAGGAUGGGUCUGCGGCCUAUCAGGUAGUAGUGGGUGUAGUGUACCUACUAGCCUACGACGGGUACGGGUUGUGAGAGCAAGAGCCCGGAGAUGGAUUCUGAGACACGAAUCCAGGCCCUACGGGGUGCAGCAGGCGCGAAAACUUUACAAUGCUGGCAACAGCGAUAAGGGGACCUCGAGUGCCAGGUUACAAAUCUGGCUGUCGUGAUGUCUAAAAAGCAUUGCAUAGCAAGGGCCGGGCAAGACCGGUGCCAGCAGCCGCGGUAAU